UGGCGCACGGGUGAGUAACGCGUGGGUAAUCUUCCUUUAAAUUCGGGAUAACUCGCCGAAAGGCGGGCUAAUACCGGAUGAUAUCUUUGAAACCUCGGUUUAAAAGAUCAAAGGUGGCCUCUAUAUAUAAGCUACUGUUUGAAGAUGAGCCCGCGUACCAUUAGCUUGUUGGUAGGGUAAUGGCCUACCAAGGCUACGAUGGUUAGCUGGUCUGAGAGGAUGAUCAGCCACACUGGAACUGACACACGGUCCAGACUCCUACGGGAGGCAGCAGUGAGGAAUUUUGCGCAAUGGGGGAAACCCUGACGCAGCAACGCCGCGUGAGUGAUGAAGGCCUUCGGGUCGUAAAGCUCUGUCAAGUGGGAAGAAACUGGUUGAUUAUAACACAAUUAACCGCUGACGGUACCACUGAAGGAAGCACCGGCUAACUCCGUGCCAGCAGCCGCGGUAAUACGGAGGGUGCAAGCGUUAUUCGGAAUCAUUGGGCGUAAAGCGCGCGUAGGCGGUUUUUUAAGUCGGAUGUGAAAGCCCGGGGCUCAACCCCGGAAGUGCAUUUGAAACUGAAAGACUUGAGUAUGGGAGAGGGAAGUGGAAUUCCUGGUGUAGAGGUGAAAUUCGUAGAUAUCAGGAGGAACACCGGUGGCGAAGGCGACUUCCUGGACCAAUACUGACGCUGAGGCGCGAAGGCGUGGGUAGCAAACAGGAUUAGAUACCCUGGUAGUCCACGCAGUAAACGGUGAACACUAGGUGUAGCGGGUAUUGACCCCUGCUGUGCCGAAGUUAACGCAUUAAGUGUUCCGCCUGGGAAGUACGGUCGCAAGAUUAAAACUCAAGGAAUUGACGGGGGCCCGCACAGCGGUGGAGCAUGUGGUUUAAUUCG
This 880-nucleotide ribosomal RNA is filed under the name uncultured bacterium. RNAcentral describes it as "bacterial SSU rRNA". It matches the Rfam family "Bacterial small subunit ribosomal RNA", at positions 96 to 953 of the family's 1533-position model. The record is from RNAcentral.